This 458-nucleotide ribosomal RNA is filed under the name uncultured bacterium. Its description in RNAcentral is "bacterial SSU rRNA". It matches the Rfam family "Bacterial small subunit ribosomal RNA", at positions 340 to 789 of the family's 1533-position model. The record is from RNAcentral.
UACGGAAGGCAGCAGUGGGGAAUAUUGCACAAUGGGCGAAAGCCUGAUGCAGCUAUGCCGCGUGUAUGAAGAAGGCCUUAGGGUUGUAAAGUACUUUCAUCGGGGAGGAAAAAACAAAACUAAUAAUUUUAUUUCUUGACGUUACCCGAAAAAGAAGCACCGGCUAACUCCGUGCCAGCAGCCGCGGUAAUACGGAGGGUGCUAGCGUUAAUCAGAAUUACUGGGCGUAAAGAGCACGUAGGUGGUUUUUUAAGUCAGAUGUGAAAUCCCUGGGCUUAACCUAGGAACUGCAUUUUGAAACUGAAAUACUAGAGUAUCGUAGAGGGAGGUAGAAUUCUAGGUGUAGCGGUGAAAUGCGUAGAUAUCUGGAGGAAUACCUGUGGCGAAAGCGGCCUCCUAAACGAAUACUGACACUGAGGUGCGAAAGCGUGGGGAGCAAACAGGGAUUAGAUACCCGU